Molecule: long non-coding RNA, 1247 nt
Organism: Oryzias melastigma (Indian medaka)
Lineage: Eukaryota; Metazoa; Chordata; Actinopteri; Beloniformes; Adrianichthyidae
Exons: 2
Source: RefSeq, a predicted model, not a curated record
UAUGAAGCCAAGAAGUCUCACUACACUUAUAGUGUUUUACGGGCUAUUAAAUAGCUAAAACGAUGUUGCUUCCACCAUAUUAUUUUAUUCCCACUGUUAUGUAAGAGUUGAAGUGAGGUCUGAGUGGAGCGGAGGGAAAAAGCUGUGCAAGUGUCCAUGCAUGAUUUAACUCCUAUUUGGAACCACUCUUGAGUUUUCCGCUCAGACUGAAAUCUGACGGCUUUCGAGCCACAAUCACAGGCUAAUGUUGACGUCUUCCUGCCUUCCAGUCACAAUAAAACUGACUCAAGGUUCAGACGGAUCGUCUAAGAAUUCCUGCUGUAAUCACAUCGGCUGUUCAAAAAAACUGUGGCUGCCUGCGAGACACAGUCAAGGCAGAAAUAAAAAGACAGUGAAGGCAAAGGAUUAGGGAAUGGAAACUCCACUAGUGUGCCCACAGGCGAAGAAGAAACAGAGUCAAGCUGUCAUCCAUUGUGGAUAGCACCUCCCACCCCCUGAAUGACACAGUAAGGGUCCUAAGAAGCUCCAGAAGCGACAAGUUCUUACACCCACAAUGCAGAAAGCAUUCCUCCAGGUCUUUUGUGCCAUCUACUUCAAGACUGAACAUGCAUCAUCGGGCUGAGAGAAAACAGUUGAGUUAGAUGUGGAAAUGUGCAGCAGGAAGUGAAACUGUACAUCAUGGAAAUCACACAAAGACAUUGUGUUCUAAAAUACAUUUCUUUAUUGUUUUAACUGUGUUUAAUUAAAAAAAAGAGUAAUCUUCGUUCUCAUUUUUGGAGUUUAAAAAGGGUUAUCUUCGUUCUAUUUUUUUUCCAUAUAUUUUUUAAAAAGCUAUAAUAUGUUUGUGCCAUAGACAUUUCAUUCUGUUUGCUGACAGAAUGCUUUAAUAUACACAGAUACCCCUAAUAUCAUUACUCUUUUGCUUAUAGUGAGCAUGUUUCAGGACUGCAAGGUGUAGACAGUUGAAGUCCUAAAAAAAUUAAGGCUAAAACCAGAAAAAAAUAUAGAAAAAACAAAACAAAUUCACACAAAAACAAACAAAAAAUAUAUCUACAAGUUAGACAAAAAUAUCUUGAAGAAGAAAAAAAAAUAUAUCAAAAUGUAUUUAACAAAAACAACAACAACAACAAAAACAAUACUUGCAACAAAGUUGACCACACCCACAACUUAAGCGUCCUUGUCACCCACGGAUUUCACUGUUUUGUGCCCCAAGUUGACUCACAAAAAAGAAAAAAAAAAAGAAAAAA